UGAGCUUGAUCCUGGCUCAGGAUGAACGCUAGCGGGAGGCCUAACACAUGCAAGCCGAGCGGUAUUGUUUCUUCGGAAAUGAGAGAGCGGCGUACGGGUGCGGAACACGUGUGCAACCUGCCUUUAUCUGGGGGAUAGCCUUUCGAAAGGAAGAUUAAUACCCCAUAACAUAUUGAGUGGCAUCACUUAAUAUUGAAAACUCCGGUGGAUAGAGAUGGGCACGCGCAAGAUUAGAUAGUUGGUGAGGUAACGGCUCACCAAGUCAAUGAUCUUUAGGGGGCCUGAGAGGGUGAUCCCCCACACUGGUACUGAGACACGGACCAGACUCCUACGGGAGGCAGCAGUGAGGAAUAUUGGACAAUGGGUGAGAGCCUGAUCCAGCCAUCCCGCGUGAAGGACGACGGCCCUAUGGGUUGUAAACUUCUUUUGUAUAGGGAUAAACCUUUCCACGUGUGGAAAGCUGAAGGUAC
Molecule: ribosomal RNA, 470 nt
Filed under: Flavobacterium sp. 01WB04.4-92
Lineage: Bacteria; Pseudomonadati; Bacteroidota; Flavobacteriia; Flavobacteriales; Flavobacteriaceae
Description: bacterial SSU rRNA
Rfam family: Bacterial small subunit ribosomal RNA
Source: RNAcentral